RNAcentral lists this ribosomal RNA (274 nucleotides) under uncultured bacterium. RNAcentral's name for it is "partial 16S ribosomal RNA". It matches the Rfam family "Bacterial small subunit ribosomal RNA", at positions 523 to 796 of the family's 1533-position model. The record is from RNAcentral.
AUACGAGGGGUGCAAGCGUUAAUCGGAAUUACUGGGCGUAAAGCGUUCGUAGGCGGUUUGUUAAGCAAGAUGUGAAAGCCCAGGGCUCAACCUUGGAACUGCAUUUUGAACUGGCAAGCUAGAGUACUGUAGAGGGUGGUGGAAUUUCCAGUGUAGCGGUGAAAUGCGUAGAGAUUCGAAGGAACAUCAGUGGCGAAGGCGGCCACCUGGACAGAUACUGACGCUCAGGAACGAAAGCGUGGGGAGCAAACAGGAUUAGAAACCCUAGUAGUCC